UGGACUGUAACUGACGCUGAGGCGCGAAAGUGUGGGGAGCAAACAGGAUUAGAUACCCUGGUAGUCCACACUGUAAACGAUGAAUGCUAGGUGUAGGGGGUAUCGACCCCUUCUGUGCCGCAGUCAACACAAUAAGCAUUCCGCCUGGGGAGUACGGCCGCAAGGUUGAAACUCAAAGGAAUUGACGGGGGCCCGCACAAGCAGCGGAGCAUGUGGUUUAAUUCGACGCAACGCGAAGAACCUUACCAGGUCUUGACAUCCAGUUAAAGCAUAAGAGAUUAUGUGUGUGCUUGCACAAACUGAGACAGGUGGUGCAUGGUUGUCGUCAGCUCGUGUCGUGAGAUGUUGGGUUAAGUCCCGCAACGAGCGCAACCCUUACAUUCAGUUACUAACGUGUGAAGGCGAGGACUCUGAAUGGACUGCCGGGGACAACUCGGAGGAAGGUGGGGACGACGUCAAAUCAUCAUGCCCCUUAUGACCUGGGCUACACACGUGCUACAAUGGCCACCACAGAGAGGAGCGAACCUGCGAGGGGGAGCGGAUCUCAAAAAAGUGGUCCCAGUUCGGAUUGUGGGCUGCAACCCGCCCACAUGAAGUCGGA
RNAcentral lists this ribosomal RNA (601 nucleotides) under uncultured bacterium. RNAcentral describes it as "bacterial SSU rRNA". It matches the Rfam family "Bacterial small subunit ribosomal RNA", at positions 730 to 1330 of the family's 1533-position model. The record is from RNAcentral.